This 394-nucleotide ribosomal RNA is filed under the name uncultured bacterium. Its description in RNAcentral is "bacterial SSU rRNA". It matches the Rfam family "Bacterial small subunit ribosomal RNA", at positions 30 to 424 of the family's 1533-position model. The record is from RNAcentral.
AUUGAACGCUGGCGGCAUGCCUUACACAUGCAAGUCGAACGGCAGCACGGGAGCAAUCCUGGUGGCGAGUGGCGAACGGGUGAGUAAUAUAUCGGAACGUGCCCGGUCGUGGGGAUAACGUAGCGAAAGCUACGCUAAUACCGCAUACGAUCUACGGAUGAAAGCGGGGGAUCGCAAGACCUCGCGCGAUUGGAGCGGCCGAUAUCAGAUUAGGUAGUUGGUGAGGUAAAGGCUCACCAAGCCGACGAUCUGUAGCUGGUCUGAGAGGACGACCAGCCACACUGGGACUGAGACACGGGCCCAGACUCCUACGGGAGGCAGCAGUGGGGAAUUUUGGACAAUGGGCGCAAGCCUGAUCCAGCAAUGCCGCGUGCAGGAUGAAGGCCUUCGGGUU